UGUGCUUCUCACUCUUCACUAGACAACUGUUACAUGAUCUACAGUGACACUUUAUGUGUUUGUAACAGUGUGUGUCACUUGUAUGUUUUGUGUGUGUGUGUGUGUGUGUGUGUGUAUCCUCCAGAACGCAGAGCUGAAUGAAGCUGAAACUGAGGCGUCGCCACUCUCCAGUAAUCCUGCGCCGCUGAUGGGAAAUCCCUUCAGCACCAGAAGAUUUGCGUCACAUUCAAGAAACCAUCUUUCUCCUACAAUUUGAUCUGGAAACUCAGCAGAUCCACAUCGUGUGCUUUAAUACACAGGGUAAAGGUUGUAGAAGAUCUUUUGGCUGUGUUAUAAUUCAAUCUACUCUGAAGAUGAAGUGUGUAAAUGAGAUGUUGUAGAUGAUGCUGGAGUGUCCAGAGAAGUUCACACUGCAUUCUGGGAUCAGUUCCUUGAACAGUGUGAAGGGGAAGAUGAGUGUGUCCUAGACUGAGACCAGACUUCUCUGACUCUGAAUGGGAGUCAGUUGAAGGAUCUGGUGAAAGGAUGACUUGACCUCGGUGUUCUGCCAGUGACGCUUCAGUGCUUUCAUUUUAGCAUUGACUCAGUCAGUGAUGAUGUCAUGAUGUCAUCUUUCCACAACUCCCUCUCUUCGACUGAACGAUCUGCGGUUGCAAAGGCUGGUCAAGACACACUGGAGGAAUGAAGUGAUGAAGAGGAUUUGCUCGACCUCUUCACAAGAAUGGGCUCUCAUUGCAUCCCUCCAACAAACACCAU
This is a non-coding RNA of Pimephales promelas (fathead minnow), 756 nucleotides long. Lineage: Eukaryota; Metazoa; Chordata; Actinopteri; Cypriniformes; Leuciscidae. The record is from RefSeq and is a predicted model, not a curated record.